CUUUACUUCAGGAGUAUUGGCUUCAAAAGGACUUACUCCCUGCAGUCAUCGUUUCCCGCGGCAAUGCCAGCAGGAAAAAGGCUGGGAACGUGGAUCCCGCUCAAAAAAGAAAUACAAACGCAACGUUUUAUUUCUAAACUUAUUUCCUCUCGCAAUCAGAGUUCAGAUGCAUUUCCUCACGUUCUUCUACCGCUCUAUGAAAUCAGGCGAAUGUGGGGAGAUAGCAAGGUGGUUGAAUGAAACUGAUAGCUUCAGAUGUAAAAGAAGGUGAUUUUUCUCUCCCUGCACAAUUUGGAUGCCUCCUAAACACAUGAUAUGGACACACAAGAGCCCAACAACAAAACCUGCCAGAACCAGUUAUCCCAGUACGCCUCUGAGAUAAUUGGGAACAGCCAGCCCCACAGGACUCAUCUACUCCGGGCGAGCCUUCUGCCAGUUGCAGACUCUCAUUCUGAAGAUUGCUGACAGGUAUGUGGCAUUUUGAAGAAACAUGGAGCAGAAGUAAUAUCAACCAUUAGUCAAGAAGAAAACAUAGUGCCAUUAAGAAUCUGGCAAUUCUACCUGAAAGCUUCUGGUGGAAGAUAUUUUCUUUACUAGUGCAGGAUUUGUUAUCUAAGUUUUGUUUUUCUAUUAUUUUAUUUGGUUACAGGUGUAGUCCUAUGCAUACUUACCUAGGGGUAAGCUCUACUGAGCAUAGCAGAACUGAUUCCUUAGCAAACACACAUAGGAUUGUGAUGCAAAUUUAAGAAAUGGGGCUGCACUCAUGCAGGGUGGUGAAAAUGGGAGUUAUCCCUUUUGUGUGUGUGAAUUGAUGGACAUAAAUCCAGCAGAUGCAGCUUUUCCUGGCAGAUAGGCAGUGAUUGGGGGGGGAAUUGGAUUUGUCCCAGCCAUUAAUGUCACAAAGUCAUUAGCAAGCAAGAAAGGAAGAAAACAAAAGGCUGCCCUGAAGAUAGCAUACUUGGAUAUAUGCCAAUGGACAGCAUGAUAGACAAGAAUGCUAAACCAAACAAUUAAUAAGGAGGCCUGCUUAGAUUUCUUUCAACAAAAUUCACUGAGAAUGUACCAGUGUGUACAUAAAUACAUUUAGACUAUAAAGAAUUGUUUGGCACACCAAUGUUAAAUGAGUGGGCCUUCACAUUUAUAUAGCUGCAAAAAUACCUUUAGGAACUCUUAGAAAUGUCACAUUGGAUGGAUAGGGUAAGGUGAAUAGUAGUGAUGCAGGACAUUGAAUAGUGGACAUUGAAAGUUGUAUGCUAGGCUCUGCUAUAGUGCUUGAUGCUACCCAAGUAUGUUGACUUUGAGAAUGGAGCUGGCUAGGUUAAAAGUAGCUCAAGAGAGCUUUGCAUUUUGCUUUAAAACCUGAGUGGCUUCUUUCCUUUCACCAUGAUGAGCCACUGGUGAAGAGACUUCAUUCCUCUUCUCGUUUGAUGUGGAAGGAAAAGGAAUGCAAAUAUUGCAUCAGAAUGCUGCAGUGGAAGAGUAACAACUGGGCCAACUCAGUCCUGGCUACUUGCUUCCCCAAUGGCACGCUGACUUGGCUUUUUUUCUGACAGUUUGCUUCCACCAACCAUUAAGCAAAAUGAUGAAAGUGUGCAGUUGACUUUUAUACAUGUAAUUAGCAUGCUUGGCUUAUACGAAGCUAGGCUUCAAGUUGAUCAUAACUGCAGAGAAAAGCUAAUGCUUGUCCUGUGCAUCUUACUUAACAGUUAUCCUAUUCAUUUCAGUAGAGAUUAUUUCCAAAUAAGGUGUUUUAGGUUCAAAGCAUGGAAUGCUCAAGAGAGAUGGAAGAUGUUAAGAAUGGUGCUGAGUCCAACAGGGAGGCAGGCAGAUAGACACUGCAAAUGCAGAAUCAGCUGUAAAAAUAAAAGAAAUAUUCAUUAAUUCAUUUUUAUAGGUAAAGAGUAUUGAAUGUCAUCUUCGUUUGAACAGAAUAUUUAUUUUGUCUUGUAAAACAAAAACAAACAGCCUCUUGUAAUGAAUGCGUAGGAAUGAUUUGUCUUCAGAAUUUGGAUAGGAACAUAUUAACAAAGUUAUUUUCCCCAGCCAUGGAAGUUUCCAGGCAGUUAAGAACACAGAGCUGAAAGUUUGCAUAAGCAUGGUUUUCAUUUAUCUGUCUCCCCUCCCUCCAGGUUUGCAUGAUCCUUAGCAAAGCAAGAGAGUAAAACAAAAACAAAUUGAGAUCAAAUAUAAUUAGGAAGGCAAGGGCUCUCAUGUUGUUUUGGGGGUCAGGCUGUAUUUAUUUUGUAAUAAUGAGCUGUUAAAAGUUUCCACUUUGAAGUGCAAUUAACUAUCAUUUCACCUGUCCACAACUGGGAGAGGGAGGAAUUCAGAGACCACAUAAAUGACAAAAGAAGAGCCUUGCUGGAUAGGAGCAAAGGUCCCUCUAGUUCAGCAUUCUUGUUCCCAAACACAUCCCUCUGGUUGGGCUCAGAAGCAAUAGCCCUCUCCCAGUGUUGCUGCCAAGCAACUGAUAUUUAAUGAUAUACCGUCUUCAAUAUAUAGUCAUCAUGGCUAAUAGCCAUUGAUAGACUUAUCCUACAUAAAUUCAGGCACUCUUGGAUGAAACUGAUUUUCUGGAUCUAUUUAAAUUGGAUUCAGGUCUGGUUUUGAUACUAAGGUAGCCAGGUCAGAAGCAUCCCAAAACCUGAGGCUGGCCCUAGUGAUAUCAUGGAGGUGGGCCUGAGUGAUGUCAUGGGGCGGGCCCGAGUGAUGUCAUGGGGCGGGCCCGAGUGAUGUCAUGGGGCGGGCCCGAGUGAUGUCAUUAAGCAUGAUACAUUAAGCAUCAAUCACAAUUGCUUGGAGCAUACAAUUCAAAAAAAAUUCUGAUUGCAAAUUAAAAUAGAAAUCUUAGCUAAAAGAUGGAGUCUGGGUAGGGAAGAUUUAAUCUAGCCUACUUGCUAGAAGGGUUUAAGUGACUUCAGGCCAGGCCAGUCACCAGAAGGCCACUGUAGGGACAAAGGAGCCUAGUGUUGUGGAGAUGUUAGAUGGGAGCAUUCGGGAGUAAAGAUGGAUGCUCCUGAAGGCUACAAUUCUAAACACACUUACUAAGGGAUUAAGCCCCAUAAAACUCAACAGGACUGACUUCUGAGUAGAUAUAGUUUGGAUUGUGCUGUUGGUAAAGCUUGACUAGGGUUCCUCUGCAAAGGCAUCCAUAUCCAAGCAGGGUUGGCAACCCCCUGCCUGGAAUACCCUGCCCUUAUCUUUUAAUGUGGCUGCUCCAAACAUCUUUACAGAUUUGACCCUUCACUUUAGAAAGAGGUCUGAGAAAUGCGUAAGAGUAAGAAGUAUCUUUUAAAAUUGUUCUUUUCAAUUCACUCUUGAAUGCACAUCAUACCUAGGGCAGAUCCACACCAUUCAUUUAAAGCACAUUCAACACCCAUUUCAAGGGCAUGAAUCUCACCACACAAUCAUGGGAACUGCAGUUUGUUAAGAGUGGUGAGAACUAUAACUGUGAGGGGAAAAUGACACUUCCCAGGAUUCUUUAAGGGAAGUCGUGUGCUUUCAUGUGAGUUGGAUGUGCUUUAAACGUAUAAUGUGAAUCCACUUAAUAAAUUUUGCCUGCAUGUAAAUUGUUUUAAUUAAUUUUUCAAAAUGGAAAUGAGCUAUAAACUGUAGUGGGUGACCAUGGGCUACUCACCUGUCCCUCAGGAUGAAAACAACGGAGAACCAUGACCACCCCAAGGCAUACUUAAAAUGUAGAGGAAGUAUUGUACAACCAUAGUAUGAAAACGGAUACUUAUUGGGACACAAUAUGACAAAAUAUUUAUAUAAGCAUGACUAUCAAAUAUGUUCAUUAUUUACACAACCUGUAAAGAUAUUUAUAGUGCAAUCCUAUGUUUGUUUACUCAGAAGCAAGUCCUAAUAUAUUCAAUGGGGCUUGCUCAACCAGGGAAAACUGUACCCUCAAGUGAUAAGGAACUUGUUCUUUUAACAAGCCUUUUAAGUUGAGACCUUAUCCCAGUCAAAAUGUGUUUAAAGAUGUUUUAUUUUAAUAUAUUUUAAAGUCUGUUUUUCUGAUUUUUAAAGUGUUUUUAGUGCUUUUGUUUGCCGCCCUGGGCUCCUACUGGGAGGAAGGGCGGGAUGUUAAUCAAAUAAUAAAUAAACAAACUUCAUUCACCCAACCCAAAAUAUGGAAUCAUGCCACUUUAAGCUGUUUUGCAAUUGUGUAUACUUGUUUUAUGGUUAUUGGUUUUUAAAGGGAUUUAUUU
Molecule: long non-coding RNA, 4208 nt
Organism: Rhineura floridana
Lineage: Eukaryota; Metazoa; Chordata; Lepidosauria; Squamata; Rhineuridae
Exons: 3
Source: RefSeq, a predicted model, not a curated record